AUAUCCAGUGUGUACCUUCUCA
RNAcentral lists this unclassified non-coding RNA (22 nucleotides) under Mus musculus (house mouse). RNAcentral's name for it is "oocyte_clustered_small_RNA8954". The record is from RNAcentral. Lineage: Eukaryota; Metazoa; Chordata; Mammalia; Rodentia; Muridae.